This 172-nucleotide ribosomal RNA is filed under the name uncultured rumen bacterium. RNAcentral's name for it is "partial 16S ribosomal RNA". It matches the Rfam family "Bacterial small subunit ribosomal RNA", at positions 338 to 524 of the family's 1533-position model. The record is from RNAcentral.
CCUACGGGAGGCAGCAGUUGGGAAUAUUGGGCAAUGGGGGCAACCCUGACCCAGCAACGCCGCGUGAAGGAAGAAGGUCUUCGGAUUGUAAACUUCUUUUAUGAGGGACGAAGGACGCGACGGUACCUCAUGAAUAAGCCACGGCUAACUACGUGCCAGCAGCCGCGGUAAU